AAAAAGAGAACUUAUAUUCAUAUUUUCUCAUAUGGGGAAAUUCUUUAAGCCUUCCCAUAAUUCUUUUCAGCUCAAAAAGAAAGAGAAAAAUGUAUUUACAUUGUGUCGCAAUUCCUCAAACAAAAUUUUGCAAUCUUCAGUGAAUGGCUCUAAGAGCCGUCUCUUAUGAUCUAUUCAAGCUUCAAGUGACUAGUCUAAAAGUUUCUUCCCUGCAUGGAAUUGUCAAGCCACCCAUUGGAUGAUGAAAACCGAACUCCUCUUCAGCUUUAACUAGCAAAUCCUGAAAUGAAGGCUGGUUCAAGUAGGAGACUGGAACCAGAAAUCGCUUCUUCUCACUCUCACAAACAUAAAUUGUUACGAAACCUUUCGGUACAUCUAAAGACCUUGAAGCAGAUUUGCUUGUUGACCACCGGAGACUUUGCUUAAGAAGAACUGCAGGAAAACGAAUAACCAUAGUAUAAGUUAUUGAUGAAUCUUUGUGGAAGAAAUUAAAUCAAGUGGUUUGUUGUUCAAGGAAUUGAAGUGGUUCCAAUGGAGGAUGUGAAAACUUGAGAUAUGAAUUAGUCGCAACCAAAGUAAGUGAAUACAUAUGGUUGGAAGUGUCAUAGAAAAUCCUGGGUUAGUGGCCAAGAUUCAUUGGCUGGGGUAUGCUUACGACAUAGCUCACAUCUUCCAAGCAAUGGGAUUGAAGUAAUUUUUGCUUCAUUUUGUUGAAGAACAAAAGGCCUACAAGCACAAAUAGUGAGAAGAGCCAAUGGAGGACCAGAAAAAGAUUGGAAAUAGACAGA
Molecule: unclassified non-coding RNA, 788 nt
Filed under: Hevea brasiliensis (rubber tree)
Lineage: Eukaryota; Viridiplantae; Streptophyta; Magnoliopsida; Malpighiales; Euphorbiaceae
Source: RNAcentral